GUUAGAAAGAUCAUUGUUCCUAGGUCUUUACAAACAUAUCGCUAGGCCAAAAGUGAUGUGAAAUCAGUGCCAUCUUGCUUACCAAAAGAUAUCACUGAAAGGUGCUACAAGAAUGCUCCCCCAGCAGGGCAUAGUGGUUCAUGCCUAUAAUCCCAGCACUUUGAGAGAUGGAGGAAGGAGGAUCUCUUGAGGCCAGAAGUUUGAGACCAGCCUGGGCAACAGAGCAAGACUCCACCUCAACACAAGCUUUUUUUUUUUUUUUUUUAAUUAACUAGGUGCUCGCCUGUAAUCCUACCUACUCAGGAGGCUGAGGCAGGAGGAUUAUUUAAGCCCAGGAGCUUGAGGCUAUAGUGAGCCAUAAAUGCAUGCCACUGAACUCCAGCCUGGGCAACAGGGCAAGUCUCUUCAAGAAAAACAAUUGCCACCUCAAAUUGACAAACUGAAGAAGACAGACAGAUAACAGUUAUUCUGGUGCCAUGGCCAUAUAGACAAACCAGGUUUUAGGAUUUUCAAAGCCUAGAAUCAUGACAACUGAUCAUGAACCAUUAAAGUUAUGAGCCUUCGCAAAUCAUUGCUACAGAAUAUGCGCAGCAUUCUGUGGAUUGGAGAGAUGUGGCCUCGCUUCGCUUGCCCCUUUCUCCCGAGGACAGUAAUCAGUCAUAAAAACAGCUCUCCUCCUUCAUAUCAAGCCAACAGCUGGAAACUCUUCUGCAAUGUCAAAUUUAGCACGCACCCCUUACUAGGCACUGAACUUAGUCUUGUGGGUCUGCGCUACAGUCUUAAAUGAGUAUUCCCGGGCCAUAGUUUAUCCUUUAUUUUUGCGUUAACAUUCUCAUUGACUUUGGUGCAACUCUAUAAAGGAAGCAAGGAUUGAAUAUCAUCCUUUAAUGCCAAAUUUACUACAGCUGAACAAAAGGAGCGGAAAUCUGGG
RNAcentral lists this long non-coding RNA (931 nucleotides) under Pan troglodytes (chimpanzee). RNAcentral describes it as "long non-coding RNA NONPTRT004311". The record is from RNAcentral. Lineage: Eukaryota; Metazoa; Chordata; Mammalia; Primates; Hominidae.